Long non-coding RNA from Zingiber officinale, 740 nucleotides. RefSeq lists it as uncharacterized. Lineage: Eukaryota; Viridiplantae; Streptophyta; Magnoliopsida; Zingiberales; Zingiberaceae. The transcript has 4 exons. The record is from RefSeq and is a predicted model, not a curated record.
GUUUAAAUGAGGAAAAGUUGAUUUUUCCUUUUUCCUUUUAAAUUCUUUUUCUCUUUUUCUUAUUUCUUAUUCUGUUUUCUUUCUCGCCGAAACAUCUCCGCGCGCCUCUUCUCUCCCUCACUCCCGAACCCGACGCCAAGAGCCCUAACCGCCGGCUACUCGGCGGUUCUCUCUUCUUCUUCCUCAUCCCUUGCCCCUCACGAGGACAGCAUCCUCUGCCCUAGCCUUGCCGUGGAGUUCCCAGCGCCGUCGCCGCGACAGUUUUCCCUCUCCUCAGCCGUGGCCUAGGAGCAAGGGCCGACCGACUGUUCUACCUCCUGAUCGUCGGCCAUCAUCACUCGACUGCCAUCAUUCAUCGCCGGAGGUGCUUCUUGUGUUUGUGGUCAUUGUGGUCGUAGGAUUCUACCGAGCCUCUUCCCCAUCGGUUGAUUGUUGACGCUGGGCCCUGGUUCUUUUCUCCACUGCCGGCUUCUUCUUCCAUUAGCCACCGACAGAGAGGGAACGAGGGGCACUGGUUAGGAGAGGCAGAUUUGAGUAGCAGUAACUUCUAGUUCCGGUCAUUAUAUCACCAAGGCACGCGUCUCCGACAGUGACUCAACAGUCGGGCAUACGCAAUUGGGAGCUUGACGCGAGACGUGUUUCUCAAUUAUUGGAUUUGGACCACUUUAUUGGAGGCGGGUACUUUGACUUGUGUCUUUUGAUAUGCAUGAUAAUAUGUUUAACAUAUAACAGUAAUUGUG